CCUACGGGUGGCAGCAGUGGGGAAUAUUGGACAAUGGGCGAAAGCCUGAUCCAGCCAUGCCGCGUGUGUGAAGAAGGCCUUCGGGUUGUAAAGCACUUUCAGUGGGGAAGAAAGCCUUGGGGCUAAUACCCUCGAGGAAGGACAUCACCCACAGAAGAAGCACCGGCUAACUCCGUGCCAGCAGCCGCGGUAAUACGGAGGGUGCGAGCGUUAAUCGGAAUUACUGGGCGUAAAGCGCGCGUAGGCGGUCUGAUAAGCCGGUUGUGAAAGCCCCGGGCUCAACCUGGGAACGGCAUCCGGAACUGUCAGGCUAGAGUGCAGGAGAGGAAGGUAGAAGUCCCGGUGUAGCGGUGAAAUGCGUAGAGAUCGGGAGGAAUACCAGUGGCGAAGGCGGUCUUCUGGACUGACACUGACGCUGAGGUGCGAAAGCGUGGGUAGCAAACAGGAUUAGAUACCCUUGUAGUC
RNAcentral lists this ribosomal RNA (465 nucleotides) under Vreelandella stevensii. RNAcentral's name for it is "partial 16S ribosomal RNA". It matches the Rfam family "Bacterial small subunit ribosomal RNA", at positions 338 to 795 of the family's 1533-position model. The record is from RNAcentral. Lineage: Bacteria; Pseudomonadati; Pseudomonadota; Gammaproteobacteria; Oceanospirillales; Halomonadaceae.